This 253-nucleotide ribosomal RNA is filed under the name uncultured bacterium. RNAcentral's name for it is "partial 16S ribosomal RNA". It matches the Rfam family "Bacterial small subunit ribosomal RNA", at positions 524 to 776 of the family's 1533-position model. The record is from RNAcentral. RNAcentral also lists the same sequence under 2 other names.
GACGAAGGAUUCAAGCGUUGUCCGGAUUUACUGGGUUUAAAGGGUGCGUAGGCGGAAAUAUAAGUCAGUGGUGAAAUCCCGCAGCUCAACUGCGGAACUGCCAUUGAAACUGCAUUUCUUGAAUACGGUUGAGGUAGAUGGAAUGUAACAUGUAGCGGUGAAAUGCUUAGAUAUGUUACAGAACUCCGAUUGCGAAGGCAGUCUACUAAGCCGUUAUUGACGCUGAGGCACGAAAGCGUGGGGAGCAAACAGG